Molecule: long non-coding RNA, 138 nt
Organism: Ipomoea nil (Japanese morning glory)
Lineage: Eukaryota; Viridiplantae; Streptophyta; Magnoliopsida; Solanales; Convolvulaceae
Exons: 3
Source: RefSeq, a predicted model, not a curated record
CCAUUGGUUUCACCAACCUCGCUUUACACACUGCAAUUUGAUAUCCAGCUCCUCCAGAGUCUCAAGGCUACCUGCUGGUUCAUGCAAAUGGUGGACUUAAUCAGAUGAGGGCAGGGAUAUAUUUGAAGUAUCGAUGAG